GGGACUUCGGUUCCCAAGUAAGGCGGCGGACGGGUGAGUAACACGUGGGUAAUCUGCCCUCGGGUGGGGAAUAACUCAGGGAAACCUGGGCUAAUUCCGCAUGACAUUGUCGGUACUUAAGGUAUAGAUAAUCAAAGCUGGGGACCCUUCGGGGCCUGGCGCCUGGGGAGGAGCCCGCGGCCAAUUAGCUUGAUGGUGAGGUAAUGGCUCACCAUGGCGACGAUUGGUAGCCGGCCUGAGAGGGCGGACGGUCACACUGGGACUGAGACACGGCCCAGACUCCUACGGGAGGCAGCAGUGGGGAAUUUUUGUCAAUGGGGGAAACCCUGAACAAGCAACGCCGCGUGAAGGACGAAGACCUUCGGGUUGUAAACUUCUGUCGGAGGGGACGAAGGCAUUUGCGGUUAAUACCCGUGAGUGUUGACGGUACCCUUAGAGGAAGCCCCGGCUAACUCCGUGCCAGCAGCCGCGGUAAUACGGGGGGGGCAAGCGUUGUUCGGAAUUACUGGGCGUAAAGGGCGCGUAGGCGGGCGGGAAAGUCUUUCGUGAAAUCCCACGGCUCAACCGUGGAAUUGCGGGAGAUACUACUCGUCUUGAGUUCGGGAGAGGAGUGUGGAAUUCCCAGUGUAGCGGUGAAAUGCGUAGAUAUUGGGAGGAACACCGGUGGCGAAGGCGGCACUCUGGACCGAUACUGACGCUG
RNAcentral lists this ribosomal RNA (700 nucleotides) under uncultured Acidobacteriota bacterium. RNAcentral describes it as "bacterial SSU rRNA". It matches the Rfam family "Bacterial small subunit ribosomal RNA", at positions 74 to 748 of the family's 1533-position model. The record is from RNAcentral. Lineage: Bacteria; Pseudomonadati; Acidobacteriota.